GUUCCAAUUCUCAGGUACACGGAUGAAAAUGAGAAUGAUAUAGAAAAGACCAGCAGGGCCUUACACGAAGCUGACAAGAAAAUUUAUCCAGUGGUCCACAUUUUU
This 105-nucleotide small nuclear RNA is filed under the name Ursus maritimus (polar bear). Lineage: Eukaryota; Metazoa; Chordata; Mammalia; Carnivora; Ursidae. The record is from RNAcentral.